AAGAAUCGGUCUUUGACGAAGGCGUGGACCUCGUCGCAGAGCUCCGUCAGCCUGCAGUGUCGGCUCAGGGCCACCAGGUGGAGCAGAGGCACCACCAGGGACUGAGGGAAGUUCUGCAGACUGUGCUUCGCCCGCCGCUCGCUCUCCACCGCCUCCAGUUGAUUUGAGUGUUCCUGAACGCACCAUGCCGGACGCGUAAGUGGGCGGGACCACUCUGUCUUCCGCAGCGCCGGUUGGACGCCCCUCGCGCCACUCUCUCCGCCCUCAGCCAAUUACGUUACGAGAGCGGCUGAAAACCCGCGCGGCGGAUGAGGCGCCGCGGUGUCGUCAGAGGAGUGAGCGGCAGGAGCUGCAGACCAGACCAGACCAGACCAGUCCAGUUCCACGAUGGGACCAGUUGAAACCAGCCUCGACUCGUGCGAUCCACAUCAAGUCUCAGGUCACAUGACCCUGUACAGAUGGAUCUGUCUGAGGGCGUCGGGGUCCGUAUCUCUGCCCAGAGAGACGUCAUAGUCCACAGGAAGCUCCUCCACCCAACCGGGCUGCAGCGCCUCCUGCUGGACAGUUAAACUCCAUCACAGACUUUAAACCAAUGUGGC
This is a long non-coding RNA of Scophthalmus maximus (turbot), 599 nucleotides long. RefSeq lists it as uncharacterized. The record is from RefSeq and is a predicted model, not a curated record. NCBI's taxonomy places the organism in Eukaryota, Metazoa, Chordata, Actinopteri, Pleuronectiformes, Scophthalmidae. The transcript has 3 exons.